RNAcentral lists this non-coding RNA (30 nucleotides) under Homo sapiens (human). Lineage: Eukaryota; Metazoa; Chordata; Mammalia; Primates; Hominidae. The record is from RNAcentral.
UGUCCCAAACGAGUUUGUGCCUCACUUUGA